This 464-nucleotide ribosomal RNA is filed under the name uncultured Klebsiella sp. RNAcentral's name for it is "bacterial SSU rRNA". It matches the Rfam family "Bacterial small subunit ribosomal RNA", at positions 338 to 795 of the family's 1533-position model. The record is from RNAcentral. Lineage: Bacteria; Pseudomonadati; Pseudomonadota; Gammaproteobacteria; Enterobacterales; Enterobacteriaceae.
CCUACGGGCGGCAGCAGUGGGGAAUAUUGCACAAUGGGCGCAAGCCUGAUGCAGCCAUGCCGCGUGUGUGAAGAAGGCCUUCGGGUUGUAAAGCACUUUCAGCGGGAGGAAGGCGGUGAGGUUAAUAACCUCAUCGAUUGACGUUACCCGCAGAAGAAGCACCGGCUAACUCCGUGCCAGCAGCCGCGGUAAUACGGAGGGUGCAAGCGUUAAUCGGAAUUACUGGGCGUAAAGCGCACGCAGGCGGUCUGUCAAGUCGGAUGUGAAAUCCCCGGGCUCAACCUGGGAACUGCAUUCGAAACUGGCAGGCUAGAGUCUUGUAGAGGGGGGUAGAAUUCCAGGUGUAGCGGUGAAAUGCGUAGAGAUCUGGAGGAAUACCGGUGGCGAAGGCGGCCCCCUGGACAAAGACUGACGCUCAGGUGCGGAAGCGUGGGGAGCAAACAGGAUUAGAUACCCUUGUAGUC